UUGACCUCGGAUCAGGUAGGGAUACCCGCUGAACUUAAGCAUAUCAAUAAGCGGAGGAAAAGAAACCAACAGGGAUUACCUCAGUAACGGCGAGUGAAGCGGUAAGAGCUCAAAUUUGAAAGCUGGCUCCUUCGGGGUCCGCAUUGUAAUUUGCAGAGGAUGUUUCGGGAGCAGCCCCCAUCUAAGUGUCCUGGAACGGACCGUCAUAGAGGGUGAGAAUCCCGUAUGGGAUGGGGUGUCUGCGCCCAUGUGAAACUCCUUCGACGAGUCGAGUUGUUUGGGAAUGCAGCUCUAAAUGGGUGGUAAAUUUCAUCUAAAGCUAAAUAUUGGCCGGAGACCGAUAGCGCACAAGUAGAGUGAUCGAAAGAUGAAAAGCACUUUGAAAAGAGAGUUAAAAAGCACGUGAAAUUGUUGAAAGGGAAGCGCUUGCGAUCAGACUCGCCUUGGGGGUUCAGCCGGCAUUCGUGCCGGUGUACUUCCCCCAGGGCGGGCCAGCGUCGGUUUGGGUGGCCGGUCAAAGGCCCUUGGAAUGUAACGCCUCUCGGGGCGUCUUAUAGCCAAGGGUGCCAUGCGGCCUACCUGGACCGAGGAACGCGCUUCGGCUCGGACGCUGGCAUAAUGGUCGUAAGCGAC
RNAcentral lists this ribosomal RNA (633 nucleotides) under Penicillium purpurescens. Its description in RNAcentral is "eukaryotic LSU rRNA". It matches the Rfam family "Eukaryotic large subunit ribosomal RNA", at positions 1 to 648 of the family's 3401-position model. The record is from RNAcentral. Lineage: Eukaryota; Fungi; Ascomycota; Eurotiomycetes; Eurotiales; Aspergillaceae.